AACGAACGCUGGCGGCAUGCCUAACGCAUGCAAGUCGAACGAGACCUUCGGGUCUAGUGGUGCACGGGUGCGUAACGCGUGGGAACCUGCCCUUAGGUUCGGAAUAACUCCCCGAAAGGGGUGCUAAUACCGGAUAAUGUCUUCGGACCAAAGAUUUAUCGCCUUUGGAUGGGCCCGCGUUGGAUUAGCUAGUUGGUAGGGUAAAAGCCUACCAAGGCGACGAUCCAUAGCUGGUCUGAGAGGAUGAUCAGCCACACUGGGACUGAGACACGGCCCAGACUCCUACGGGAGGCAGCAGUGGGGAAUAUUGGACAAUGGGCGAAAGCCUGAUACAGCAAUGCCGCGUGAGUGAUGAAGGCCUUAGGGUUGUAAAGCUCUUUUACCCGGGAUGAUAAUGACAGUACCGGGAGAAUAAGCUCCGGCUAACUACGUG
RNAcentral lists this ribosomal RNA (433 nucleotides) under uncultured bacterium. RNAcentral's name for it is "partial 16S ribosomal RNA". It matches the Rfam family "Bacterial small subunit ribosomal RNA", at positions 29 to 507 of the family's 1533-position model. The record is from RNAcentral.